This 337-nucleotide ribosomal RNA is filed under the name Geocentrophora wasiliewi. RNAcentral's name for it is "SSU rRNA". It matches the Rfam family "Eukaryotic small subunit ribosomal RNA", at positions 44 to 380 of the family's 1831-position model. Lineage: Eukaryota; Metazoa; Platyhelminthes; Prorhynchida; Prorhynchidae. The record is from RNAcentral.
UUAAGCCAUGCAUGUCUAAGUACACACCUUUACACGGUGAGACUGCGAAAGGCUCAUUAAAUCAGCUAUUGUUUCUUAGAUCAUUGAACAUUACAUGGAUAACUGUGGUAAUUCUAGAGCUAAUACAUGAAACAAAGCCUUGACCUCACGGGAAAGGCGCUUUUAUUAGAUCAAAACCAACCGAGCUUGCUCGUACGUUUGGUGACUCUGGAUAACUUUGUGCAGAUCGCAGGACCUUGCUCGGCGACGUAUCUUUCAAAUGUCUGACCUAUCAACUGUCGUUGGUAGGUGAUAUGCCUACCAUGGUGAUAACGGGUAACGGGGAAUCAGGGUUCGA